Molecule: ribosomal RNA, 468 nt
Filed under: uncultured bacterium
Lineage: Bacteria
Description: partial 16S ribosomal RNA
Rfam family: Bacterial small subunit ribosomal RNA
Source: RNAcentral
GACGAACGCUGGCGGCGUGCUUAACACAUGCAAGUCGAACGGAAAGGCCCUGCUUUUGUGGGGUGCUCGAGUGGCGAACGGGUGAGUAACACGUGAGUAACCUGCCCUUGACUUUGGGAUAACUUCAGGAAACUGGGGCUAAUACCGGAUAGGAGCUCCUGCUGCAUGGUGGGGGUUGGAAAGUUUCGGCGGUUGGGGAUGGACUCGCGGCUUAUCAGCUUGUUGGUGGGGUAGUGGAUUACCAAGGCUUUGACGGGUAGCCGGCCUGAGAGGGUGACCGGCCACAUUGGUACUGCGAUACGGCCCAGACUCCUACGGGAGGCAGCAGUGGGGAAUAUUGCACAGUGGGCGGAAGCCUGAUGCAGCAACGCCGCGUUCGGGAUGACCGCCUGCUGGUUGUAAACCGCUUUCGCCUGUGACGAAGCUUGAGUGACGGUAAUGGGUAAAGAAGCACCGGCUAACUACGUG